ACUGGUAGUAAACUUAUCCCUCUUCCCUCUAGUCGCCGCUGCCCUCGUCCCUCUAGUUUUCUUCAUCCUCAACCUCAAGAUCAAAGACCGUAGGAUGUGGUCUUCAAUCUUAAUCUCUCAAGCUCUCAUCUUCCUCAAAUUUUCACAGACUCUGGUUUCCUUUGUAAGAGGCCAAAGCUGAAAUUUGCAUGUGUGUCGUCACUCUUAAAGCAACAUCACAGAACAAAAAAAAGAUCAAGGCGCAUGAGCACCAUAGGCUAUUCUUCAGAGUUGCCUCACCUUUGGGGUCUUCUGUUUAGGGCUGAAUAAGCACCAAUCGGCACUGGCACAUCCACUCUCAAUGAGCAAGAGUACACACACAAUGUUCUUCCCCCCUUUAUGCUUCUACUGCCCAGUGAUAUAAGAGAAGCCUUCUUUUAAUUUUGGAAAUCCUUAAAACAACCCAAGAAGGGUUGAUGAAUAUCCCUCUAGACAUUUUUUGAAGUGGUUAUACCAUAUACACUUUAAUCAGUUGGAUUGGGAGGUUGAAGUAGUCGACAUGCUGCCCUUCUUAAAUUGAAUGGGGAAUGUGGAACAUUGUUCUAGAUUGUAAGCUGAAUAAUGAAAAUAGGCUUUUUCUUUCAUUGUAUACCAGUGAAUCAAAAGUCCAAUCACAGGUUUGUAAUGUUCUUAGAUCAUUCAAUUGUUAAAAAAAGUGUAAUUCUUGUAACUUAGAUUACAUUUUAAAGACAUGAUUCCUUUGGAUA
Macadamia integrifolia is the source of this 746-nucleotide long non-coding RNA. RefSeq lists it as uncharacterized. The transcript has 3 exons. The record is from RefSeq and is a predicted model, not a curated record. Lineage: Eukaryota; Viridiplantae; Streptophyta; Magnoliopsida; Proteales; Proteaceae.